Molecule: microRNA precursor, 113 nt
Filed under: Pan troglodytes (chimpanzee)
Lineage: Eukaryota; Metazoa; Chordata; Mammalia; Primates; Hominidae
Also listed under: 1 other name
Description: microRNA ptr-mir-3943 precursor
Rfam family: mir-3943 microRNA precursor family (bases 5-88)
Source: miRBase by way of RNAcentral
CACAGACGGCAGCUGCGGCCUAGCCCCCAGGCUUCACUUGGCGUGGACAACUUGCUAAGUAAAGUGGGGGGUGGGCCACGGCUGGCUCCUACCUGGACAGGCCUCCAGCUAAC